Molecule: ribosomal RNA, 763 nt
Filed under: Athallia holocarpa
Lineage: Eukaryota; Fungi; Ascomycota; Lecanoromycetes; Teloschistales; Teloschistaceae
Description: LSU rRNA
Rfam family: Eukaryotic large subunit ribosomal RNA
Source: RNAcentral
CGGGCGAGGCGCCGGUCUAAGUCCCUUGGAACGGGGCGUCGUAGAGGGUGAGAAUCCCGUAUGUGACCGGCGGCCGAGCCUAUGUGAAACCCCUUCGACGAGUCGAGUUGUUUGGGAAUGCAGCUCAAAAUGGGUGGUAAAUUUCAUCUAAAGCUAAAUACCGGCCAGAGACCGAUAGCGCACAAGUAGAGUGAUCGAAAGAUGAAAAGCACUUUGGAAAGAGAGUCAAAAAGUACGUGAAAUUGUUGAAAGGGAAGCGCUUGCAACCAGACCUGCCCGCGGGUGAUCAGCCGUCCUUCUGGGCGGUGCACUCGCCCGCGAACAGGCCAGCAUCGGUUCGGGCGGUCGGAUAAAGGCCUUGGGAACGUAGCUCCCCUCGGGGAGUGUUAUAGCCCUCGGUGCAAUGCGGCCUGCCCGGACCGAGGACCGCGCUUCGGCUAGGAUGCUGGCGUAAUGGUUGUAAGCGGCCCGUCUUGAAACACGGACCAAGGAGUCGACCCACUAUGCGAGUGUUUGGGCGUCAAACCCACACGCGCAAUGAAAGUGAACGGAGGUGGGAACCCCUCGCGGGGCGCACCAUCGACCGAUCCAGAUGUCUUCGGAUGGAUUUGAGUACGAGCAUAGCUGGUCGGACCCGAAAGAUGGUGAACUAUGCCUGAAUAGGGUGAAGCCAGAGGAAACUCUGGUGGAGGCUCGCAGCGGUUCUGACGUGCAAAUCGAUCGUCAAAUUUGGGCAUAGGGGCGAAAGACUAAUCGAACCAUC